GAUGAACGCUAGCGGCAGGCUUAACACAUGCAAGUCGAGGGGUAUAGGGAGCUUGCUUCCUAGAGACCGGCGCACGGGUGCGUAACGCGUAUGCAAUCUACCUUUUGCAGAGGGAUAGCCCAGAGAAAUUUGGAUUAAUACCUCAUAGUAUAGCAGUUUCGCAUGAAACCACUAUUAAAGUCACAACGGCAAAAGAUGAGCAUGCGUCCCAUUAGCUUGUUGGUAAGGUAACGGCUUACCAAGGCAACGAUGGGUAGGGUCCUGAGAGGGAGAUCCCCCACACUGGUACUGAGACACGGACCAGACUCCUACGGGAGGCAGCAGUGAGGAAUAUUGGACAAUGGGCGCAAGCCUGAUCCAGCCAUGCCGCGUGCAGGAUGACGGUCCUAUGGAUUGUAA
Molecule: ribosomal RNA, 399 nt
Filed under: uncultured bacterium
Lineage: Bacteria
Description: bacterial SSU rRNA
Rfam family: Bacterial small subunit ribosomal RNA
Source: RNAcentral